Molecule: long non-coding RNA, 2960 nt
Organism: Astatotilapia calliptera (eastern happy)
Lineage: Eukaryota; Metazoa; Chordata; Actinopteri; Cichliformes; Cichlidae
Source: Ensembl
AUUUUUGUUUUCAAAUUUAAGAAUAACUGUGUGAGAUGAUGCAUGAGCCUGAAUUUAUGACUUUAUAAUCAGCUAAUCUGACACAGAGCCUGAACCCACCGAGGACUAAGAAGCCGUUGACUCGGAAGUUAUUAAUGAAGACUUUCACCAACAUGUCAAAACAAUCCAUUAAAGAUGAAAUGAUUUACAUGACUCUGGCUUUGUUAAGAAGAAAAACCUCUCUGGCUUUAUUAUUUACCGCAUAGAAUCACUGUGUAAACAUAAUGUACUUGAACACCACGGUUAUUAUAAUGACUAAAAAUAGGUUUGAAAAAUGUCAUUAAAUGGAACCAAAAUGUUUAAAAAAAACAAAGUAAAACUGAAACACUGUUGCGAACUUGUAAAACAAAAAUAAAACCAAAAAUAAGUUAAUCAAAUAACUUUAUUUUAUUAACAAUAAAAUAAGUUAAUUACUACAGAGAGAGACAUACUUGGAAUCAAUCCUUUGUGUUUUUGUUGCACAUAUAGUUUUGGUGAGAAGUUUACACACAAUGAUCAUAAAUGGGCAUAAAUGUCAUGGGAAUGUCUUUGAUCUUUUUCCAGAUUGUACAGCAUACAUGUUAAUCUUUUGGAUUUUCUUUAUUCCACACAGAGUCAGAAGUAUACAUACAAACUGAAAUAUAUACAUAUACUCAAAUAUUUAAAAAAAAACUCAAACUUGUGUUCCAGCAGGACAAUGAUCCCAAACACACAUGAGAACUGAUUUCAGAAUAGGAUAGAGCAGGCCCCGACUUCAGCCCUAUUGGAAAUUUGUGGACUGUGCUUAAACGUCAGGUCCGUGCCUGUGCCAGGAAACCAAUCAGUUUAAAUGAACUCUACCAAUACUGCCAAGAAGAGUAAUCAAAUAUCCAGGAAAUGUAUUCCAGAAGCUUACCAAUGGAUAUUUAACCAAAGAUUAGUGGAAGUGUAUGUAUAUACUUGAGCCGGAUUAGAGAAAAUCCAAAAUAGAUUCAAACUUGUGCACCCAGUUUUCUAAAGUCAUUAAAGAUGUUGUACAAUCAUUCCACCCUGGAAAAAGAUCAGUUCAGAGAAAUCAUUGAAAGCCCCAAAAUACCAUGACCUUCAUGCCCAUGAUGAGAGUAUGUAAACUUCUGACCACAACUAUAAAUUAUUGCAUGUAUAUAAUUUAAUGAAGUCUACUUCCUCUGUAAUACAUUAUACUUUUUUCACAGGGAUCAGUGUCAUAAAUUUGAAAAAAUUCUAGAAUAUGAGCAGAAAAAGCAAAUAAUAGCCUAUGUGUGGUCAGUUUCAGUUAAUUUGAUCAUGUUUUUUUUUUAAUCAUUUUCAUCACUCAUUUUUUUUUACGUAUACAGACUGGAUUAAAAAAUGGAAACCUUUUUUUUUUUAAGAAAAAGGUUUUUAUCAAAGAUUUUAAAAAAAGCAAAACACAAAUUUGUUUACACUAUAUUUAAAUUGAUUUAUUUCACCACCAGGUGGCAGACUUGGUUUUCACUUUCAGUGUCCAAAAGCAUCUGUGCAUGUUAUUUGCACAUCAGUCAGACAGACAUGAGAAUCUUUUUUUAAAGUAGCAGUUUUCAGCUUCAGUUUUCCACCAGAUAACUUGCAGAGCUGUCCAGGAUGGUCACAUCUUCUCACCGAUGCUUCUUUCAACAUCUUGAUUUACGUAAUCUGCCUCAUCUGUAAAACAUGUGCAUAAGUGGUUAAUGAUGAAAACACGUCCAGACCAUUGACACAUUUGCAUAAUGACUGAAACUAGCACCACUGACAAACUGGGCUGUGAGGUCAACUAAAACCUGGGCAGCUCUGCUUAAGCACAGCUGAAAGCAGGCCUUUAAAUGAAUGUUUUCACAGUCACCGUACUGUGGAAAAGUCUUAAGCCACGCUUAUAUAUAUUUUUUUCCAAGGAGCCACAUUUCUUAUUUUUGAAAGUGGUCUUAAGCAAUAGUUUUCCAGGCUUUCUGAUGGUCUUCCUGACAAAAUAUAAAGAAAUGAAAGGUAGCACAAGACUUUUUCACCGUGCUCUUUGUUCCUCUGUUGCAUUUAAAUCAUAUAUCUGAGUGCUUGAGAUUUCCAAGCAGCUGCUGUAACAUGUUGGCUGUUACUGUAUAAAGCAAAUGCCCCAGGUAGUCAGUAAUAUGGCACCACAUUUACUGUUGGUUGAAAGCUGUGUGAAGUAAUAUAGUGAGGCAGCCAAUUAGACGUUCACAGGACUCUGGAACCUAUAAGCAUCCUCAGUGGGCCAUUUUCUGUUAGUGCUCCUGUGAUGUUAUCAGCCAGAAAAGUUAGACAUGUUAUAUAUGGCAGUAUUUUGGUCUUGUGGUUAUACUGGGUGAGUAUGCAAAUAAAGACGUCCAACGCCAUAUAAGUGCUACUACUUAUAUGGCGUUAAAAUAACUACGUCUUUUAUGGUAUUUAAUCAGCGGGAAACACUCUGGGUUCCCCAAAAUGCCCUGCUCACGUCAUCUGGUUGAUGUUACUUGACGUCAGUGUUGCUGAGCUUUCGUUUGAAACUGUUAUGAAUGCAAAUUAUUGCGUGGAAUAACUUUUAGUGGCAGAAUCCCUUUGAUCUCUGGUCUUCUUUAUGACAUCAGCACACGAAAACCUAUAAAUAGGGGAGAGGUUCUCACUCUUGUCAGUCUUUCAAAGAUAGUGGAAGAAUUCACUAGGCAGGAAAACACUUAAACUACUCGAAACUUCCGUUUCUGACACAGUUGACCGUAUUUUUAAAAAAAUCUUUUAGUUGGUGCAGAGAUUUAGCAUCAACUUCAAUUUGAAAUAUGAGUCUGUCAAAUCCUGUUGCAUGCAACAUGAGAGCCGAGAACGAAAAACUUCAACAGCAAAUCAAAGAGCUGAAAAAUGAGAAUAAAACUCUCAAACAACAAAACUCUACCAUACGUGACCUUAAAGUCGAGAACGCCGACCUUAAGGAGCAAAAAAGAGAGCUCAUAAAUGAGAACAAG